This 787-nucleotide ribosomal RNA is filed under the name Enterococcus sp. FBPers-11_02-16. RNAcentral describes it as "bacterial SSU rRNA". It matches the Rfam family "Bacterial small subunit ribosomal RNA", at positions 73 to 838 of the family's 1533-position model. Lineage: Bacteria; Bacillati; Bacillota; Bacilli; Lactobacillales; Enterococcaceae. The record is from RNAcentral.
CCGGAGCUUGCUCCACCGGAAAAAGAGGAGUGGCGAACGGGUGAGUAACACGUGGGUAACCUGCCCAUCAGAAGGGGAUAACACUUGGAAACAGGUGCUAAUACCGUAUAACAAUCAAAACCGCAUGGUUUUGAUUUGAAAGGCGCUUUCGGGUGUCGCUGAUGGAUGGACCCGCGGUGCAUUAGCUAGUUGGUGAGGUAACGGCUCACCAAGGCCACGAUGCAUAGCCGACCUGAGAGGGUGAUCGGCCACAUUGGGACUGAGACACGGCCCAAACUCCUACGGGAGGCAGCAGUAGGGAAUCUUCGGCAAUGGACGAAAGUCUGACCGAGCAACGCCGCGUGAGUGAAGAAGGUUUUCGGAUCGUAAAACUCUGUUGUUAGAGAAGAACAAGGAUGAGAGUAACUGUUCAUCCCUUGACGGUAUCUAACCAGAAAGCCACGGCUAACUACGUGCCAGCAGCCGCGGUAAUACGUAGGUGGCAAGCGUUGUCCGGAUUUAUUGGGCGUAAAGCGAGCGCAGGCGGUUUCUUAAGUCUGAUGUGAAAGCCCCCGGCUCAACCGGGGAGGGUCAUUGGAAACUGGGAGACUUGAGUGCAGAAGAGGAGAGUGGAAUUCCAUGUGUAGCGGUGAAAUGCGUAGAUAUAUGGAGGAACACCAGUGGCGAAGGCGGCUCUCUGGUCUGUAACUGACGCUGAGGCUCGAAAGCGUGGGGAGCAAACAGGAUUAGAUACCCNGGUAGUCCACGCCGUAAACGAUGAGUGCUAAGUGUUGGAGGGUUUCCGCCC